GUCACUUUGGCCGAGCGGUUAAGGCGGUGGUUUUAAGCACCACUCCCCAUUGGGAUCGUGGGUUCGAUCCCCACAGGUGGCA
This is a non-coding RNA of Ramicandelaber brevisporus, 82 nucleotides long. NCBI's taxonomy places the organism in Eukaryota, Fungi, Kickxellomycota, Ramicandelaberales, Ramicandelaberaceae. The record is from the annotation of a GenBank genome assembly.